UUUCUUUGGGUUGCUUCUUGCUCGAAUUUUAUUUCUUUUUCAAUUUAGAGUUUGUUGUCUGAUAUUUGUUUAUUAUUUGUUUUGCAGGUAUCUUAAAAAAUGCAUUCGAUUGCUUCUUUUCUUUUUCUUGGUGUUAAUUUUCUGGUUGUAUGUAUGGAUUUUUUUAAAAUACUUCAAUUCUUUUGAUUUUUUAGUUUUUUGCUUUGUUUUAUUAUAUUGUAUUUCCUGCCUAGAAUAAACUUUCAUUGGUGAUGACGCCUUUCGCUGAUGUUGCAAAGAUUUUUUUUACUAUUUCGAGAUAUUUUCUUAUUGGAAAAUUUAUCCUUGGAUACUUCUCUAUAUAAAACGUUGCAGCAAGGGCAUGAUCUCAUUUUUUUUCGUGGUAAAUGUUUUUACCCAGUUAGGAUUCAUUAUGUUUUAUAGCAAAUUGCAGGACUAUAUACCUAAAUUCUUUUUCGUGCUUCUGGGAUUAUAAUGACUGCAACUCAACACCUGAUGAUUUGCAAAAUCAUUUUAAGAACAAAAGAACACUUAUCAGUUUUUGGAAACAACCAAGAAGAACUUUUUUUUUGUUUGAAGCAGCCAACUAAGAAGAAGAUGAUUUUUUUUGCUCAAUUGAAAACGAUGAGAUUAACAAUGGUCUUCGAGAAAAAAAAGGUUCGAUUUUUUCUGAAAUGAUGAACAACAACAUUUUAUUUUCUUUAGGUUAUCUUUAACAUAUAUUAAUUGACUAAAUUUCCUAAAAGUAAUUGUGGAAGGUUAUUAGAACGAAAUUAAAGUAAAUAGGUGCAAGAUUAGAGCAUCUUAAUUGUGAAGCCAUUCCACCAAUAAUUAGAAUAUAAGAGGUACAAGAUUGAUUCGUCUACGUUCUCUUUUUAUGAUUUAUGUGGAUAUUUUAAGAUGCAUUAGCUCUUCGUUCGUGAUGAACAUGUGAAGUAUUUGAGAAAAAAAACGAAUACAGUUCUUCAAAAGAGGUAUCCUUCAAAAGUAUGAUCAGAUGAAGAAAGUACAAACUCAUACUUGAUGGUAAAAGACUCGGGUAAAAUUACGACACAUACUGAACGAAGUAAUGCAUGAAGAUUGUCUUUUUGGUCAUACCACUCUAGAAACCAUUUAUAUUCAGUAAUACCAAAAUGAUUGGUUGUAUCUUACUUUGGAAUAAAUUUAACAGCUUUCUUAGAUUGUCUGAUGCUUGAGCAAGAAAAAAGAAACAACAAGGUGAUGUUAAGGUAUUAUUUGUGCGAGGUAUAACUAUAAAAAAAUUCUACAGAUAUAGGCCAUAAGUUGGAGAUACAAAAAUAAUUUAUGGGGAUUUUCAUGCUGGACCCGUUGUCAUUCUUCGCGGUAUUAACGGAAACUAUGAGGGAGUCUUUCAUUUCUUGAAUUAGAUAGGCAAAAGUUUUGAACGGAUUAUUUGUUUAUUAUCAGUUGUGUCAUUAUUUACUCAAAAUGCAUACCGUUGUAUAGCAUGAUGUUAUCAAUAUGCGUACAGAAACUAAAUAGAACAAUUCUCUGGUUUUUCUUAGUUUAGUUAUCAGACACCAUUAUUGUGGGUCGAGUUUUACAA
Molecule: long non-coding RNA, 1567 nt
Organism: Papaver somniferum (opium poppy)
Lineage: Eukaryota; Viridiplantae; Streptophyta; Magnoliopsida; Ranunculales; Papaveraceae
Exons: 3
Source: RefSeq, a predicted model, not a curated record